This 3019-nucleotide ribosomal RNA is filed under the name uncultured candidate division WWE3 bacterium EJ0ADIGA11YD11. RNAcentral's name for it is "bacterial LSU rRNA". It matches the Rfam family "Bacterial large subunit ribosomal RNA". The record is from RNAcentral. Lineage: Bacteria; candidate division WWE3.
AGAUUUAAGUUAUUAAUGCAUGUGGUGGAUGCCUUGGGUAUUCGUGCCGAUGAAGGAAGUGCAAAACUGCUUUAAGCCUCGAGGAGCUGUUAAGAAGCGUUAUUACUCGGGGAUUUCCGAAUGGGGAAACCCGGCCACGUUUAAACGUAGGUCACUCACAAUUGAAAAUUUACCUUUUGGUAAAUCAUAGAUUGUGAAGAGGGAACUCGGCGAACUGAAACAACUUAGUAGCCGGAGGAAAAGAAACAAUCUUGUUAUUUUCUUAGUAGCGGCGAGCGAAAAGAAAUCAGCCCAAACUCAAGUUGUUUUUGGAUUGAGCGGUUUGAUUUAUCAAAUUGUCUUAAUCUAGAAACAAUAUCAAUUGAGGGUAUGGAAAAUCCAUAUCUGCUUUUAGCAGAUGAGAGUUAUAAAUUGUUCUUGUAUAAGAAGUUGCCUGGAAAGGCACGCCAUAGAGAGCAAUAGCCUCGUAUUUUAAACAAGAACAACUCUUUGGGUUUAUCCUGAGUAGCACGGGGCACGUGUAAUCCUGUGCGAAUAUAGCAGGCCCACCUGCGAAGGCUAAAUACAUGAAUACACCGAUAGCGCAUAGUACCGUGAGGGAAAGGUGAAAAGAACCCCUGUUAGGGGAGUGAAAUAGAUCCUGAAACCGCAUGCAGACAAGCUUGUAAAGCCCUACUUGUAGGGUGAUACAGUGCUUAUUGAAGAAUGAUCCAGCGAGUUAAUACUGUAAGCAAGCUUAACCUGUGAUAGCAGGGGAGGCGAAGGGAAACCGAGUUUUAAUAGAGCGAUUAGUUUAUAGUAUUAGACCCGAAGCCAAGUGAGCUAACCAUGACCAGGGUGAAGCCCGUCGAGAGACGGAUGGAGGCCCGAACCGGGGUGCGAGGAAAAGCACUCGGAUGAGCUGUGGUUAGUGGUGAAACGCCUAACAAACUUGGCGAUAGCUGGUUCUCCCCGAAACAUAUAUAGGUAUGACCUUUGCAUUUAAAGAUCGGCGAGGUAGAGAUACUGAAAGGGGAUGGGGGGCGUAAGCCUACCCACCUCUACCAAACUCCGAAUGCGUCGAUUGUGUGCAAGGAGUCAGUGAUGCGGGGCAAUCUCGUGUCACAAAAGGGUAACAACCCAGACCAUCGGCUAAGGUCCCUAAUUUUUUGCUAAGUGGGCAAGGAAGUGAAAUCGUUAAGACAGCUAGGAGGUUGGCUCAGAAGCAGCCAUCCUUUAAAGAAAGCGUAACAGCUCACUAGUUAAACGAUUUUGCACCGACGAUUUAACGGGGCUUAAGCAAAAAACCGAAGCCGUGGCUUCGUCGCAAGAUGAAGGGUAGGGGAGCUUUGAUACAGCUGUGAAGUCUCGUCGUGAGGCGAGGUGGAGCGGUAUCAAGUGAGUAUGCUGGAAUGAGUAACGAGAUCCAUGUGAAAACCAUGGACGCCGAAUAUCUAAGGUUUCCUCCGCCAUGCCAGUCAGCGGAGGGUUAGUCGAUCCUAAGGUGAGGCUGAAAAGCGUAACCGAUGGAUAGCAGGUUAAUAUUCCUGCACUGCUAUAAAUUCGUUUUUACCGAUGGGGUGACGAAGUAUGACAGAUCGGGCCCGAUAAGGAUUCGGGUUCCAAAAGCAAGGUAGUCCUUAUAGGAAAAUCCGUAGGGGCGUUUUUACCCGAGUUUAGGAAAAGCCUAUCGCAAGAUGGGUAAUUCGAUUGGUUCAAAUUUCCAAGAAAAACCUCUAGGGAGAGUUUAUAGUAUUCGUACCGCAAACCGACACAGGUAGAUUGGUAGAGUAUACCAAGGCGAGCGAGAGAAUGGUGGUUGAGGAACUAAGCAAAUUACAUCCGUAACUUAGGGAAAAGGAUGCCCAUCGGGCGCAAGCUUUGAUGGGGGCACAGAAAUGGCUCGGGCGGCUGUUUAACAAAAACACAGGUCUCUGCUAAACCAGUAAUGGGAUGUAUAGGGACCGACGCGUGCCCAGUGCCCGUAGGUUAAGAUUGGGGGUGACUUCUGCUUUGCAGAACGAGCUUCUGAUUUAAGCCCGGGUGAACGGCAGCAGUAACUAUAACUGUUCUAUGGUAGCGUAAUCCCUUGCCGGGUAAGUUCCGGCCCGCACGAAACGCGUAACGAUCUGAGCGCUCUCUUAACCACUAACUCGGUGAAAUUGAACUACCGGUGAAGAUGCCGGUUACUCAUUGUUGGACAGAGAGACCCCGUGGAGCUUUACUGUAACUUGGUAUUGGUAAUCGGUUUUAGUUGUGUAGUGUAGGAGGGAGUUCACCCUUAAACCGGUGAACGUCAAUGAAACACCUCUCUUCUAAUAUCGAGAGCCUCACUACUUCGCAUGAUCUGCGAAGGGGACAAUGCCUGGUGGGCAGUUUAUCUGGGGCGGAUUCCUGCUAAAAGGUAACGCAGGAGCUCAAAGGUUCUCUUAACGCCGAUGGAAAUGGCGUUGUAAGUGCAAAGAUAUAUGAGAGCUUGACUGCAAGACUUACAAGUCGCGCAGAUACGAAAGUAGGACUUAGUGAUCUUCCGAGUGCUUAGUGGUAGGCCCGGAACUUAUCGGAUAAAAGCUACCCCGGGGAUAACAGGCUGAUCUUACCCGAGCGUCCACAGCGGCGGUAAGGUUUGGCACCUCGAUGUCGUCUCGUCAUAUCCUGGAGCUGGAGCAGGUUCCAAGGGUCCGGCUGUUCGCCGGUUAAAAUGGCGCGUUAGAUGGGUUCAGAACGUCGUGAGACAGUUCGGUCCAUUUCCACAAUGAGUGUGGAAUCCUGAGAGGACUCAUUCCUAGUACGAGAGGACCGGAAUGACAUAACCUCUGGUGUACCAGUUGUUCCGCCAGGAGCACCGCUGGGUAGCUAUGUUGUGAGUUGAUAAAUGCUGAAAGCAUCUAAGCAUGAAGCACACCUCAAAAUUAGGGUUCAUUUCGCUUUACGCGAACGCAACUCCUGGGAGAAUACCAGGUUGAUAGGCUGCAGGUGUAAGUGUAGUAAUACAUUCAGCCGAGCAGUACUAAUGUUAGCGAGCUUAAAUUUAUCUAUU